UACAGAGGUCCCGAGCGUUGUUCGGAUUUAUUGGGCGUAAAGGGUGCGUAGGCGGCGGAGUAAGUUGGGCGUGAAAUCCCGGGGCUCAACCUCGGAAUGGCAUUCAAUACUGCUUCGCUCGAGUACUGGAGAGGAGGCUGGAAUUUACGGUGUAGCAGUGAAAUGCGUAGAUAUCGUAAGGAAGGCCGGUGGCGAAAGCGAGCCUCUGGACAGUUACUGACGCUGAUGCACGAAGGCCAGGGGAGCAAACGGG
RNAcentral lists this ribosomal RNA (253 nucleotides) under uncultured bacterium. Its description in RNAcentral is "partial 16S ribosomal RNA". It matches the Rfam family "Bacterial small subunit ribosomal RNA", at positions 524 to 776 of the family's 1533-position model. The record is from RNAcentral.